RNAcentral lists this long non-coding RNA (405 nucleotides) under Phoenix dactylifera (date palm). RNAcentral describes it as "long non-coding RNA (PDAC_LNC001954)". Lineage: Eukaryota; Viridiplantae; Streptophyta; Magnoliopsida; Arecales; Arecaceae. The record is from RNAcentral.
UUUGUCACUACAUUUGUCAUUAAUCCCGUCACUGACCUAGUGAUAAGUUUACCGUCACUAAUUGGUUACAAACGCGCUGAGCAAAAUCAAUUUUUAUUAACCAAAAUCCUGUCACUAAGUUUACGACUGCUCGUCACAAUACUUGGUAAACAAUUUAGUAACCAAAAUUUGGUCACCGAUCACAAUCUAAUAACCUGGUACAUUUGGUACAUUGAUUGGCUCAUAACAAUAAUAAUAAUAAUAUCAUUAAUAGCAAAGGCAUUCAACAUUACGCCAAAGUCAUUUUAAAUGUCAUUCAAAAUUGGCAUCAACAUGUCCUGAAUCCAUCAAAAUCAAAGUCUAAAAAUACGUCAUAAAGAUCAACAGAGAUUUCAUUCCUCCUAGGAAUGCAAAGACCUAUCAUCN